CCCUUAGAUGUUCUGGGCAGCACGCGCGCUACAAUGGUCUUCGCAAACGGAUGCAUUCUCGAAGGAGAAUGCCAAUCUUGGAAUCUAUGCCUUGGUCGGGACAGUUGCUUGCAAUUUUUCGACUCGAACCAGGAAUUCCUUGUAAUCGUGAUUCAUCACAUCACGAUGAAUACGUCCCUGCCCUUUGUACACACCGCCCGUCGCUCCUACCGAUCGAAGAGUUAGGUGAAUUGUUUUGAUCGAUAAGAUUUGACUAUGGUCAACUCUCGUUGUGAAAUUCUGUGAAUCUGACUGUUUAGAGGAAGGUGAAGUCGUAACA
Molecule: ribosomal RNA, 319 nt
Filed under: uncultured eukaryote
Lineage: Eukaryota
Description: partial 18S ribosomal RNA
Rfam family: Eukaryotic small subunit ribosomal RNA
Source: RNAcentral